Vicia faba (fava bean) is the source of this 324-nucleotide non-coding RNA. NCBI's taxonomy places the organism in Eukaryota, Viridiplantae, Streptophyta, Magnoliopsida, Fabales, Fabaceae. The record is from the annotation of a GenBank genome assembly.
UUAUAUGGCAAAGAACAUUGGUACAACAAGGGAUUCAAGCAUGAAUAUAUGCAACAGUAGAGCAACAGUAGAUAGAGAGUAGAAAAAGAAUAUACCUAUCGGAGCCUCCCUGAUGGGGCUUCUAACAAAAAUGGUUAUUUGGAGCAUAUUUUUUACCAACAAAAAUGCAACAAAAUGGGCUUGUAGAAAGGUUGCAAAUAUGGGUUGCACUAGCACUUUGCUGAAUUUUUUUUUUCAUGUUGAAAAUAAAUCUUGUACACACUUGUAGCUUCUUGUAACCUUGUGAUAAACUCUAAUAAAUUGUAACAUUGAAUAAAUAUGCAU